RNAcentral lists this ribosomal RNA (207 nucleotides) under uncultured bacterium. Its description in RNAcentral is "partial 16S ribosomal RNA". It matches the Rfam family "Bacterial small subunit ribosomal RNA", at positions 568 to 774 of the family's 1533-position model. The record is from RNAcentral.
CGCGCAGGCGGUUUGUUAAGUGAGAAGUGAAAGCCCUCGGCUUAACCGGGGAACGGCUUCUCAUACGGGCAGACUAGAGGAUGGGAGAGGAAAGCGGAAUUCCCGGUGUAGCGGUGAAAUGCGUAGAGAUCGGGAGGAACACCAGUGGCGAAGGCGGCUUUCUGGACCAUUACUGACGCUGAGGCGCGAAAGCGUGGGGAGCAAACA